GAUGAGCGCUGGCGGCGUGCCUAAUACAUGCAAGUCGAGCGAACAGACGAGGAGCUUGCUCCUCUGAUGUUAGCGGCGGACGGGUGAGUAACACGUGGAUAACCUACCUAUAAGACUGGGAUAACUUCGGGAAACCGGAGCUAAUACCGGAUAACAUGUUGAACCGCAUGGUUCAACAGUGAAAGACGGUCUUGCUGUCACUUAUAGAUGGAUCCGCGCCGCAUUAGCUAGUUGGUAAGGUAACGGCUUACCAAGGCAACGAUGCGUAGCCGACCUGAGAGGGUGAUCGGCCACACUGGAACUGAGACACGGUCCAGACUCCUACGGGAGGCAGCAGUAGGGAAUCUUCCGCAAUGGGCGAAAGCCUGACGGAGCAACGCCGCGUGAGUGAAGAAGGUCUUCGGAUCGUAAAACUCUGUUAUUAGGGAAGAACAAAUGUGUAAGUAACUAUGCACGUCUUGACGGUACCUAAUCAGAAAGCCACGGCUAACUACGUG
This 497-nucleotide ribosomal RNA is filed under the name uncultured bacterium. RNAcentral's name for it is "partial 16S ribosomal RNA". It matches the Rfam family "Bacterial small subunit ribosomal RNA", at positions 28 to 507 of the family's 1533-position model. The record is from RNAcentral.